Molecule: ribosomal RNA, 126 nt
Filed under: Carlito syrichta (Philippine tarsier)
Lineage: Eukaryota; Metazoa; Chordata; Mammalia; Primates; Tarsiidae
Source: RNAcentral
GUCUGUGUCCAUAUCACCCUGAAUGCCUGACCUUGGAAGCUAAGCAGGGCUGGGCUGGUUAGUACUUGGAUGGGAGACACAGCUGUUCCCUAAAUUUUUACUGAAUGAAUUAAGGGGUUGUAGAGC